This 559-nucleotide long non-coding RNA is filed under the name Struthio camelus australis. RNAcentral's name for it is "lncRNA (ENSSCUG00000014138.1)". Lineage: Eukaryota; Metazoa; Chordata; Aves; Struthioniformes; Struthionidae. The record is from RNAcentral.
AAUGAACUCGCCUGUUUGCGCUCCCCUGGCCCCUCUCUCCUCCCACCGCCCGGGGGGCACUGUAUAUAUCCGCCUCUCCUUGCCCGCCUCGAGCACUUUGGGGGCUCCCCCCUGCUGCCCCCCUCUCCCGCCGGGGAUGGAGCGAGGAGUGAAGAGGACGGGGCCGGCUCUCCCCGCCGCCCGCUCCAGUGCCCACCUGCGGCACCCUGUGCUCCUGCACCUCCUGCACCUCCUGCAGCUGGCGGGGGGGGCACCCCUGGGCCCGGCGCUGUACCCCAUGCCGCCCGGCGUCCUGCAAGCGCUGUCAAGCCGGGGGACGCUGGUGCUGGAGGCAGCGCUGAGGAGUGCCCUGUUGGCUCUGGAGGGGGCCCUGGCCGAGCACCAGCGGCAGCGGGGUGCCUGUGGGCUCUGUGCCCCCUGCCUCUUCCCGCCCUGUGCCAACAUCACUCACCGCUGCCCACCGCCGGCUGUGCCUCCCACCAUGCCCCCCAGCUGCCAGGCCCUGCUCGAUGCCCAGGCGCUGCCCGAGCUGCCCCAGCGCAACUGGGCGCUGAGCCAA